Molecule: ribosomal RNA, 497 nt
Filed under: uncultured bacterium
Lineage: Bacteria
Description: partial 16S ribosomal RNA
Rfam family: Bacterial small subunit ribosomal RNA
Source: RNAcentral
GAUGAACGCUGGCGGCGUGCCUAAUACAUGCAAGUCGAGCGAACAGACGAGGAGCUUGCUCCUCUGACGUUAGCGGCGGACGGGUGAGUAACACGUGGAUAACCUACCUAUAAGACUGGGAUAACUUCGGGAAACCGGAGCUAAUACGGGAUAAUAUAUUGAACCGCAUGGUUCAAUAGUGAAAUACGGUUUUUCUGUCACUUAUAGAUGGAUCCGCGCCGGAUUAGCUGGUUGGUACGGUAAAGGUUUACCAAGGCAACGAUGCGUAGCAGCCAUGAGAGGGUGAUCGGCCACACUGGGACGGAGACACGGUCCAGAGUCCUACGGGAGGCAGCAGUAGGGAAUCUUCCGCAAUGGGCGGAAGCCUGACGGAGCAACGCCGCGUGAGUGAUGAAGGUCUUCGGAUCGUAAAACUCUGUUAUUAGGGAAGAACAAAUGUGUAAGUAACUAGGCACGUCUUGACGGUACCUAAGCAGAGAGCCACGGCUAACUACGUG